GAUGAAGAACGCAGCGAAAUGCGAUACGUAAUGUGAAUUGCAGAAUUCAGUGAAUCAUCGAGUCUUUGAACGCACAUUGCGCCCCCUGGUAUUCCGGGGGGCAUGCCUGUCCGAGCGUCAUUGCUGCCCUCAAGCACGGCUUGUGUGUUGGGCCUCCGUCCUCCUCCCGGGGGACGGGCCCGAAAGGCAGCGGCGGCACCGCGUCCGGUCCUCGAGCGUAUGGGGCUUCGUCACCCGCUCUUGUNNNNNNGGCCGGCGCUUGCCGACACAUCAAUCUUUUUUCCAGGUUGACCUCGGAUCAGGUAGGGAUACCCGCUGAACUUAAGCAUAUCAAUAAGCGGAGGA
RNAcentral lists this unclassified non-coding RNA (345 nucleotides) under soil metagenome. RNAcentral describes it as "partial contains 5.8S ribosomal RNA, internal transcribed spacer 2, and large subunit ribosomal RNA". The stretch from base 1 to 120 matches the Rfam family "5.8S ribosomal RNA", at positions 35 to 154 of the family's 154-position model. The record is from RNAcentral.